AUUGAACGCUGGCGGCAUGCUUUACACAUGCAAGUCGAACGGCAGCGCGGGGAGGCUUGCUUCUUUGCGGUCGCGUGGCGAACGGGAGUGACAUACAGCUGAACUUGUUGUGAGGAGGGGGAUAACCAGGCGAAAGGGUGGCUAUUACCGCAUAUAUUCUGAGGAAGAAAGCUGAGGAGCUGGGGAUAGUCCUGGCGCUUCUUGAGCGGCCGAUGUCGGAUUAGCUAGUUGGUGAGGUAAAGGCUCACCAAGGCGAAGAUCUGUAGCGGGUCUGAGAGGAUGAUCCGCUACACUGGAACUGAGACACGGCCCAGACUCCUACGGGAGGCAGCAGUGGGGAAUCUUGGACAAUGGGGGCAAGCCUGAUCCAGCCAUGCCGCGUGUAUGAAGAAGGCCUUAGGGUUGUAAAGUACUUUUGUUAGGGAAGAAAAGUCAGCUGAGAAUAAUGGCUGAUACUGACGGUACCUAAAGAAUAAGCACCGGCUAACUACGUG
RNAcentral lists this ribosomal RNA (494 nucleotides) under uncultured bacterium. Its description in RNAcentral is "partial 16S ribosomal RNA". It matches the Rfam family "Bacterial small subunit ribosomal RNA", at positions 30 to 507 of the family's 1533-position model. The record is from RNAcentral.